CUGGAAACCUUGCAGCGGGAGUAAUCAGAACCCAACGGCUGCCUUGGUGAGCCCAGGACACACCAGGAAUCUCUUCUUGGCAAAUGAUCCAGAGCACAGAGAGGAUCACGGAGCCGGUUGUCUUGCAGAUAAUGUUAUCAACUGGAUAAUUUCUCUGAAGAAUCAAAGAACUGGCAGCAUAUACUGGUGGCGCAUGCUAAUCAGGAAAUUUUUUCCAAGGAUAAGGAGAGUUGAUAUAAAUCGCACUUGACCAGAC
This 256-nucleotide long non-coding RNA is filed under the name Fukomys damarensis (Damara mole-rat). RNAcentral's name for it is "lncRNA (ENSFDAG00000025007.1)". Lineage: Eukaryota; Metazoa; Chordata; Mammalia; Rodentia; Bathyergidae. The record is from RNAcentral.